This 496-nucleotide ribosomal RNA is filed under the name uncultured bacterium. RNAcentral's name for it is "partial 16S ribosomal RNA". It matches the Rfam family "Bacterial small subunit ribosomal RNA", at positions 28 to 507 of the family's 1533-position model. The record is from RNAcentral.
GAUGAACGCUGACGGCGUGCCUAAUACAUGCAAGUCGAGCGAACGGACGAGAAGCUUGCUUCUCUGAUGUUAGCGGCGGACGGGUGAGUAACACGUGGAUAACCUACCUAUAAGACUGGGAUAACUUCGGGAAACCGGAGCUAAUACCGGAUAAUAUUUGAACCGCAUGGUUCAAAAGUGAAAGACGGUCUUGCUGUCACUUAUAGAUGGAUCCGCGCUGCAUUAGCUAGUUGGUAAGGUAACGGCUUACCAAGGCAACGAUGCAUAGCCGACCUGAGAGGGUGAUCGGCCACACUGGAACUGAGACACGGUCCAGACUCCUACGGGAGGCAGCAGUAGGGAAUCUUCCGCAAUGGGCGAAAGCCUGACGGAGCAACGCCGCGUGAGUGAUGAAGGUCUUCGGAUCGUAAAACUCUGUUAUUAGGGAAGAACAUAUGUGUAAGUAACUGUGCACAUCUUGACGGUACCUAAUCAGAAAGCCACGGCUAACUACGUG